Molecule: ribosomal RNA, 253 nt
Filed under: uncultured bacterium
Lineage: Bacteria
Description: partial 16S ribosomal RNA
Rfam family: Bacterial small subunit ribosomal RNA
Source: RNAcentral
UACGUAGGCAGCGAGCGUUGUUCGGAGUUACUGGGCGUAGAGGGUGUGUAGGCGGUUGUUUAAGUUUGGUGUGAAAUCUCCCGGCUCAACUGGGAGGGUGCGGCGGAAACUGGAAUGCUAGAGUGUGGGAGAGGUAAGCGGAAUUCCUGGUGUAGCGGUGAAAUGCGUAGAGAUCAGGAGGAACACCUGCGGUGUAGACAGCUUACUGGACCACGACUGACGCUGAGACACGAAAGCGUGGGUAGCAAACAGG